GGCUACAAGUAGCCUCUCACCUUCUGAUGUUACGCGGUUGACUGCACAUGUUGUAGCAGAAAUAGCCGAGUGAACGUGUUUCGUUUCAUGUAAAGGUGGUCUGCAGAAGAACAAUUGCAUGCUGUAUCAACGAUAAGGAAGCUUAGACGGUGAUCUACGGCGACUACGGACACGGCGGACAGGCCCCCCGCGCCCUCGUCCAGCAGGCCGAAGAAGCGCAGGCAGAAGACCACGGGCACCGGGAGGAUCGCCACCACGAUCAGCGUGAUGCACACGGCCACGCCCCAGCCGGGGUACCUCACGGACCUCUCUUGGGCCUGUGGAGAUGCAAGCCGUUACGCGGCGGGGUUAGCGCUUGGCCCCAGGCACUGCUACCAUGUUAAUCUUACACAAUAUAGCUAUGGAAUGUACUGCAUGUUAUUUCAAUAAACUAUCAAAAAGACUUGGAGCAAAAUGCCAGAUAUCAUUGAGAUAAUAUAUUUGUUCAAAUCUAUAUAGCGGUGAAAUGUAAGCUAUUUGGAAUUGCAGCCUCUCCCUUUUUUUGAGUUUAUGUUUGCUUAAAUAUAUAACAUAA
This is a long non-coding RNA of Conger conger (European conger), 574 nucleotides long. RefSeq lists it as uncharacterized. The record is from RefSeq and is a predicted model, not a curated record. The transcript has 3 exons. NCBI's taxonomy places the organism in Eukaryota, Metazoa, Chordata, Actinopteri, Anguilliformes, Congridae.